UACGGAGGAUGCGAGCGUUAUUCGGAAUUAUUGGGCGUAAAGCGUCUGUAGGUUGCUUUUUAAGUCUAUUGUUAAAUAUUAAGGCUUAACCUUAAAAGGGCAGUAUGAAACUAAAGAGCUUGAGUUUAGUAGAGGUAGAGGGAAUUCUCGGUGUAGUGGUGAAAUGCGUAGAGAUCGAGAAGAACACCAGUAGCGAAAGCGCUCUACUGGGCUAAAACUGACACUGAGAGACGAAAGCUAGGGGAGCAAAUAGG
This 254-nucleotide ribosomal RNA is filed under the name uncultured bacterium. RNAcentral's name for it is "partial 16S ribosomal RNA". It matches the Rfam family "Bacterial small subunit ribosomal RNA", at positions 524 to 776 of the family's 1533-position model. The record is from RNAcentral.